GCCUCGCACCGCCGGUACCGGCAGUGUCAGUGCUGCCCCCGCCUCGUGCUGCUCCGAGAGGGCGCAGGUGGCUGCCGAGCUCCGCCCGCGGGGCUGUACGCGGCGGUGCCCGCGAGUCCCGUCAGGCACCGCGGCGGGCACCGGAGGCAUCCAAAGAGAAGUUACACGCUGGCAGAGUGUUGUCUCCAAAAGAUCCUGAAUGCUUCUGGUUAAAAUCAGCUGUGUAGUGUCCUUCUUCUCCCAGGAGCCAGCAUGCCAGCAACUGCAGGGAGAUACCAGGGGCCCUGUCCUCACCUCAGUGCCUGCAGCAGGACAGCAGAGAUGGGGACAAAUCCUGUGUCACCACCCUGAGGGCUGAACCUGCAGUACUUCAAGGGACAGAGACACUGCAGCCCCCAGACAUUUGUGGCAAGGCUGGUGUCAGGAUGGAGAAGGUGCUUCCAGCCCCAUAGCCAGGCUUGGUGGGGUUUGAAGCACUGUAAUGGCAGGGGUUGCUACUGGAAAAGAGUAAAUUAAAGGAGAAAAAGAAGACAGAAA
Taeniopygia guttata (zebra finch) is the source of this 537-nucleotide long non-coding RNA. RefSeq lists it as uncharacterized. The record is from RefSeq and is a predicted model, not a curated record. NCBI's taxonomy places the organism in Eukaryota, Metazoa, Chordata, Aves, Passeriformes, Estrildidae.